UACGUAGGGGGCAAGCGUUGUCCGGAUUUAUUGGGCGUAAAGAGCGUGUAGGCGGCUUUGCAAGUCCGUUGUGAAAACUUGAGGCUCAACCUCGAGACGCCGGUGGAAACUGCAAAGCUAGAGUCCGGAAGAGGAGAGUGGAAUUCCUGGUGUAGCGGUGAAAUGCGCAGAUAUCAGGAAGAACACCCGUGGCGAAGGCGGCUCUCUGGGACGGUACUGACGCUGAGACGCGAAAGCGUGGGGAGCGAACAGG
RNAcentral lists this ribosomal RNA (253 nucleotides) under uncultured bacterium. RNAcentral describes it as "partial 16S ribosomal RNA". It matches the Rfam family "Bacterial small subunit ribosomal RNA", at positions 524 to 776 of the family's 1533-position model. The record is from RNAcentral.